UAGUUGGUGGGGUAAAGGCCUACCAAGGCGACGAUCAGUAGCGGGUCUGAGAGGAUGAUCCGCCACACUGGGACUGAGACACGGCCCAGACUCCUACGGGAGGCAGCAGUGGGGAAUUUUGGACAAUGGGGGCAACCCUGAUCCAGCCAUUCCGCGUGAGUGAAGAAGGCCUUCGGGUUGUAAAGCUCUUUCAGCUGGAACGAAACGGUACGUCCUAAUACGGUGUGCUAAUGACGGUACCAGCAGAAGAAGCACCGGCUAACUACGUGCCAGCAGCCGCGGUAAUACGUAGGGUGCGAGCGUUAAUCGGAAUUACUGGGCGUAAAGCGUGCGCAGGCGGAUUGUUAAGCAAGAUGUGAAAUCCCCGGGCUUAACCUGGGAAUGGCAUUUUGAACUGGCAGUCUAGAGUGUGUCAGAGGGGGGUGGAAUUCCACGUGUAGCAGUGAAAUGCGUAGAGAUGUGGAGGAACACCAAUGGCGAAGGCAGCCCCCUGGGAUAACACUGACGCUCAUGUACGAAAGCGUGGGUAGCAAACAGGAUUAGAUACCCUGGUAGUCCACGCCCUAAACGAUGUCAACUGGUUGUUGGGGGAGUGAAAUCCCUUAGUAACGAAGCUAACGCGUGAAGUUGACCGCCUGGGGAGUACGGUCGCAAGAUUAAAACUCAAAGGAAUUGACGGGGACCCGCACAAGCGGUGGAUGAUGUGGAUUAAUUCGAUGCAACGCGAAAAACCUUACCUACCCUUGACAUGUCCAGGACCCUGCAGAGAUGCGGGGGUGCCCGAAAGGGAAUUGGAACACAGGUGCUGCAUGGCUGUCGUCAGCUCGUGUCGUGAGAUGUUGGGUUAAGUCCCGCAACGAGCGCAACCCUUAUCAUUAGUUGCCACGCAAGGGCACUCUAAUGAGACUGCCGG
RNAcentral lists this ribosomal RNA (913 nucleotides) under uncultured bacterium. Its description in RNAcentral is "bacterial SSU rRNA". It matches the Rfam family "Bacterial small subunit ribosomal RNA", at positions 246 to 1155 of the family's 1533-position model. The record is from RNAcentral.